UGUGCCUGAGGACACCACAGUGAUGCCAGCUGGUACACUAACAGUAGUCCGGGGAUCUGUUCUUCUCUGGGUCAGGGAGUGUUGUAGUCCAGGGAUCUGUUCUCUGGUUCAGGGAGUGUUGUAGUCAGGUCCUGGUCUUCUCUGGGUCAGGGAAUGUUGUAGUCAGGUCCUGGUCUUCUCUGGGUCAGGGAGUGUUGUAGUCAGGUCCUGGUCUUCUCUGGGUCAGGGAGUGUUGUAGUCAGGUCCUGGUCUUCUCUGGGUCAGGGAGUGUUGUAGUCAGGUCCUGGUCUUCUCUGGGUCAGGGAGUGUUGUAGUCAGGUCCUGGUCUUCUCUGGGUCAGGGAGUGUUGUAGUCAGGUCCUGGUCUUCUCUGGGUCAGGGAGUGUUGUAGUCAGGUCCUGGUCUUCUCUGGGUCAGGGAGUGUUGUAGUCAGGUCCUGGUCUUCUCUGGGUCAGGGAGUGUUGUAGUCAGGUCCUGGUCUUCUCUGGGUCAGGGGUGUUGUAGUCAGGUCCUGGUCUUCUCUGGGUCAGGGGAGUGUUGUAGUCAGGUCCUGGUCUUCUCUGGGUCAGGGAGUGUUGUAGUCAGGUCCUGGUCUUCUCUGGGUCAGGGAGUGUUGUAGUCAGGUCCUGGUCUUCUCUGGGUCAGGGAGUGUUGUAGUCAGGUCCUGGUCUUCUCUGGGUCAGGGAGUGUUGUAGUCAGGUCCUGGUCUUCUCUGGGUCAGGGAGUGUUGUAGUCAGGUCCUGGUCUUCUCUGGGUCAGGGAGUGUUGUAGUCAGGUCCUGGUCUUCUCUGGGUCAGGGAGUGUUGUAGUCAGGUCCUGGUCUUCUCUGGGUCAGGGAGUGUUGUAGUCAGGUCCUGGUCUUCUCUGGGUCAGGGAGUGUUGUAGUCAGGUCCUGGUCUUCUCUGGGUCAGGGAGUGUUGUAGUCAGGUCCUGGUCUUCUCUGGGUCAGGGAGUGUUGUAGUCAGGUCCUGGUCUUCUCUGGGUCAGGGAGUGUUGUAGUCAGGUCCUGGUCUUCUCUGGGUCAGGGAGUGUUGUAGUCAGGUCCUGGUCUUCUCUGGGUCAGGGAGUGUUGUAGUCAGGUCCUGGUCUUCUCUGGGUCAGGGAGUGUUGUAGUCAGGUCCUGGUCUUCUCUGGGUCAGGGAGUGUUGUAGUCAGGUCCUGGUCUUCUCUGGGUCAGGGAGUGUUGUAGUCAGGUCCUGGUCUUCUCUGGGUCAGGGAGUGUUGUAGUCAGGUCCUGGUCUUCUCUGGGUCAGGGAGUGUUGUAGUCAGGUCCUGGUCUUCUCUGGGUCAGGGAGUGUUGUAGUCAGGUCCUGGUCUUCUCUGGGUCAGGGAGUGUUGUAGUCAGGUCCUGGUCUUCUCUGGGUCAGGGAG
Long non-coding RNA from Oncorhynchus tshawytscha (Chinook salmon), 1370 nucleotides. RefSeq lists it as uncharacterized. The record is from RefSeq and is a predicted model, not a curated record. NCBI's taxonomy places the organism in Eukaryota, Metazoa, Chordata, Actinopteri, Salmoniformes, Salmonidae. The transcript has 3 exons.